Molecule: long non-coding RNA, 454 nt
Filed under: Ananas comosus (pineapple)
Lineage: Eukaryota; Viridiplantae; Streptophyta; Magnoliopsida; Poales; Bromeliaceae
Description: long non-coding RNA (ACOM_LNC013443)
Source: RNAcentral
GUGCAGCCUGGGUUGGAGCAUGACAUACAUAUUCGAGGACGAAGUCGAGGACGCGGUCGUGGACGCGGAUGUGGACGUGGCAGGGGACGAGGGCGAGAGCAUAGGAGGGGGAUGGAGGGGACUUGAUGUUUUUUUAUCAUUUUUGAGAUUAUUAUGUAAAUUUGAUAUUCAGAUCUUUCUAUAUUGAUUUUUGUAGUAUUAUCUAAAUUUAUCCAUAUUGAAAUGUGUUAAUAUUGGUAUAGCUCAUUUUAUCUGCUUAAAGUGUGGUUGAAGUUGGUAUAGAUGAUUUUAUGUAAUUAUUUCUGUAAUUAAAAUGCUUGAAAAUAUUGCUUUUUUGUAUAAUGUGAGAAUUUUGCAUAGUUGCUGUUGGUUUGUUGCUGUACAGCUUGAAUGCGGUGAACCAUUCACCGCAUUUAAAUGCGGUGAACCAUUCACCACCUUUAUAAGCGGUGAA